GACGAACGCUGGCGGCGUGCUUAACACAUGCAAGUCGAACGAAGUGGCGAACGGGUGAGUAAUACGUGGGUAACCUGCCCUCAUUUUUGGGAUAAGCCUUGGACACGGGGUCUAAUACCGAAUCAAGGGGGAUGGGCUCGCGGCCUAUCAGCUUGUUGGUGGGGUGAUGGGCUACCAAGGCGGUGACGGGUAGCCGGCCUGAGAGGGUGAACGGCCAGAUUGGGACUGGGGUAAGGGCCAGAAUCCCAAGGGAGGGAGCAGUGGGGGAUAUUGCAAAAUGGGGGAAAGGCUGAUGCAGGGACGCCGCGGGGGGGAUGAAGGCUUUCGGGUUGGAAAACUUUUUCGGUAACGAAAGGGUAGGUGGAGAAGAAGCGCCGGCUAACUACGUGCCAGCAGCCGCGGUAAUAC
Molecule: ribosomal RNA, 408 nt
Filed under: uncultured bacterium
Lineage: Bacteria
Description: partial 16S ribosomal RNA
Rfam family: Bacterial small subunit ribosomal RNA
Source: RNAcentral